UGUGGUGUUUCUUUUCGCAUCUCCCCAGAUGCGCGCUGCAAGUGGAAAAUUUUAGGCAUUCAAGACUUUAGAGAAAAAACACUGAAGUAAACGGCAACGAAAGUGCUGCUAAGUUUCGCUCCACACAGUAAAGCAUAGUUCGUCGAGAAGGAAACGUUUGCGCAUUUGUCGAUUACCGGAUAUAAAGUGUAGUGAAAUCGUGCCGAAAAUCACAAACAAGGUGUAAUGCUAGUGGUCGGUUGGCAGUAGUCAUCACAGCACUCUGAGGGAUCCUCCCUUGUCACUUUCCCGUAUUCGUACCGUAAUUCAACGUCUGCUGUGUACCAAGUGCUGCAUAAGUGAAAUUUUACUUUAGACCAAGCGGAUUGAUACAAUUGAAAACUAACUAUUGAAGAAGGCUCGUGAUCUCGACCGCCGUUCGCUAGAACUUAAUCCACAAUCUUGAAAGUGAACAAUUGAAGCUGACCGUGCGAAACAGCUGCUAGUCUACACGAUAUCGUAAUCUUACUCUUAUCACAAUGGAUAAAAGGAAAUUGUCAACAUCCGGUGAUACUCUGUAUCAAACGUUGGGACUACCAAAAACAGCCACCGCAGAUGAGAUUAAGAAGACAUACCGAAAGCUCGCGCUGAAGUAUCAUCCCGAUAAGAAUCCAAAUAAUCCAGAUGCAUCGGAAAAAUUCAAAGAAGUAAACCGUGCUCAUUCCAUUUUGAGUGAUUUAACGAAGAGAAACAUCUAUGAUAACUAUGGAUCCCUCGGAUUGUACAUUGCCGAACAGUUUGGCGAGGAGAAUGUCAACGCUUACUUCGUUGUAACGUCGCCCACGUGCAAGGCUUUGUUUAUGAUCUGCGGUAUUAUCACUGGUUGCUACUGCUGCUGCUGUUGCUGUUGCUGUUGCAACUUCUGCUUCGGCAAAUACAAACCUGUACCUCCGGAGCACGCUGGGGAUUACCAUCAUUUACACAGAGAUGCUGCUGCAAGCAGCAGCAACGCAGGGGAAAGAUCGGUCGUCACAGAUCAACCAAAGCCAAAUGAGGAUUUGGCAGAUCUGGAGGAUAACGGCGUUGGCGGUGGUCCUGUGACUUCUCAGCCACAGGCCGGCCAGGCACAGGGUGCUGGUAUGCCCGUCUAUGCAAUGCCUCCGCCUUCGUCAAAUCCGACGAACCCAUUCACCGGUUCGGCCGCCACGGAGAGCACAGGCUUGAACAAGGGAAAUCAACCCAUUUACACACCUGGAGAUUUGCUUCAAUUUUGAUGUCUUUCCACGUAUCCGUGUAUUCUGAAGGCUCUUCACUACAACACGUCUUCAAUUCUGCACCUUGUUGUUGAAUUGUAGUUUAUUUACAUUGGGUUUCUAAGUAUGAAGUGAGUGUAUUAUUCGCCGCCAUACAUACCAAUAUUGGUUCAAAAGGAAGCCGCUCGGUUCUUGUUGAGCGGGUACGUCUUUGCCGAAUCGGAGAAGAGGUUAGUCGGUCAGGACAAGGGUCCUCUGCAACACACCUUUAUGUGCAGCGAACUAUGCACCGAACCAAAUAACACAUAUACAAGUUAAUGUAACAAUAAUAACAAACCCUGGUAAUCGCUGAAACGAUCGCAGAAUUCUCUGUAAAGAAGUUCAACGGAAAAAAUAUCUUGUAAGGCAUAUUCUUAUUUUUGCAAUCGCCACAGUUCAUAUGGCUUCUGCUCCCAUGCGAAAAAGAACUCGAUACAGAACAGACAAAAAUCUAAAACUACUUAGUAGAAUAAUAUGUGUGUGUGUGUGUUCGUUCGUGUGCAUUCGAUGAGCAGAGUAAAGGCUUUAUCCCGUAAAUCCAAUGGAAAAUAGCGAAGGAUUAAACGAAACCGAUCCAACAUAAGCUAACAUUAUUUUACAUACCUUUCUAGCGACAAAAUGUAAUUUAUCGUCAUGCAAUACUGUGAGGCAGUCGAGGUGUUUCGAAGAAGGAACAACAGGCUUUCAGUACUACUGCUUUGUUGAGAUAUUUGUUCAGUUAGCGAAAGUGCUGAUAAAGAAUGAUAUGUAUUUCUUCCACAGUAAGAGCGCGAGAAAAGUUAAGUACAAGAACAACAAAAAUAUUAGAAAACGAUCGUUAAACAAAUUGAGAAAAGGCUAUAUUGUUGAUGGAAGUAACAGAUAGGAUCUAUUUCCUACUCAUUUAUAACAUAUUACUAAUUAGAUUUUGUCAAAUACUUCUUCAAUUUAUCUGUGGGGCUACCGUGACGCAUGUUGAAUUUUCGGACGAUUAAGAAAUUACUGCGCCAUUAUGUCCAGUAUACCGGAGUUGGUAGACUAUCGAAAGUAUAAUUAAAUAACUAAUUGCGCAUGUUUCUUUUCGUGUAGCAAAUAUCCUCUCGAGCUGAUGAUGAUUGCAAAUAAACAGAAAAUUCAAAGGGA
This is an RNA transcript of Anopheles coustani, 2393 nucleotides long. It is a transcript of the gene named dnaJ homolog subfamily C member 5 homolog, with no coding region annotated. NCBI's taxonomy places the organism in Eukaryota, Metazoa, Arthropoda, Insecta, Diptera, Culicidae. The record is from RefSeq and is a predicted model, not a curated record. The transcript is spliced from 8 exons.